UCUGGCGUGCCGCUCCACAUCAACUGCAGCAGUUCAAUGAGGGGAAUUAAGCUAGAACAUCGAAUAUGGAAUCAAAGCUUCGGUUUCAACUGAAUUCUAAGCACAAAAUUCACUGAGAUCAUAAGUUAAGCACAAAAACAAACACAACUUCCAAACUAUCAUUCAAACUAAAACCCUAGAAUGGUGAAAUUGGAGAGUAGAAAAGGGACUGACUUUGAUGAGAAGGGUGAGGAGAG
Arabidopsis thaliana (thale cress) is the source of this 236-nucleotide long non-coding RNA. RefSeq annotates it as other RNA. The transcript has a single exon. NCBI's taxonomy places the organism in Eukaryota, Viridiplantae, Streptophyta, Magnoliopsida, Brassicales, Brassicaceae. The record is from RefSeq.